AUUGGCUGAUUCCCAUCCUCCAUUCUCAAUUAAUUGAGGGCAUUGAUCAGAUUGGUGUCCUUGAAUGGAGCAUACACCACAGAUUGUAGUUCCUUGCGUUUUGGGGCCUUCAACCAACUGCGAUAACAUAGACGUAAGGUUAGCCAUUUGGGAUUGUAACUCAGAAAUAUAACUUACCUCAUUUACAUGAUGUGGCCGUGGGGUGUCUCUUUGCCCAACACCUUCAUAUUGUUGUGCAUUGAGUGCUCGAUU
This 252-nucleotide long non-coding RNA is filed under the name Malus domestica (apple). RNAcentral describes it as "long non-coding RNA (MDOM_LNC004502)". The record is from RNAcentral. Lineage: Eukaryota; Viridiplantae; Streptophyta; Magnoliopsida; Rosales; Rosaceae.